UAGAUAGGUCAUGGGGAUCCUUAUGGUAUGGCAAUAACUCAUGAGACGUCUGCAGGCAUGGGCGGAAUACGUACUGCUGGAGAUCUGGUAGCACGUAUGC
Peptococcaceae bacterium BRH_c23 is the source of this 100-nucleotide non-coding RNA. NCBI's taxonomy places the organism in Bacteria, Bacillati, Bacillota, Clostridia, Eubacteriales, Peptococcaceae. The record is from Rfam.